Long non-coding RNA from Scylla paramamosain (green mud crab), 353 nucleotides. RefSeq lists it as uncharacterized. The transcript is spliced from 3 exons. The record is from RefSeq and is a predicted model, not a curated record. NCBI's taxonomy places the organism in Eukaryota, Metazoa, Arthropoda, Malacostraca, Decapoda, Portunidae.
GACUUUCCUAGCAUCUGUCUGACGUCGGGUUGAAAGAGUGAGUGUGCGUGGCGACGCGGUUGCGGGUACACGUGUUAGUGUGUGGUUUGACUUCCUUCCUUCUCAACUCGUCUCAUCGAUAAAGUUUAUGGUUGAAUCUCGAGGGAACACGGGCGGGAAUGGAGGGAGGUGAUAAAGGAUUCCCACCGUUGCCCCUUCGCCACUCCCAGCCUGCAUAACGAGAGUAACACAAGAGGCUAAGGACACCACACAAUGUACACCUGCAAGAAAGAUCGAAAGAAAUAAGAACACGACGAAAGAAAAGAGAGAGAGAGAGAGAGAGAGAGAGAGAGAGAGAGAGAGAGAGAGAGAGA